Molecule: unclassified non-coding RNA, 233 nt
Filed under: Bacillus thuringiensis
Lineage: Bacteria; Bacillati; Bacillota; Bacilli; Caryophanales; Bacillaceae
Description: partial contains 16S ribosomal RNA, 16S-23S ribosomal RNA intergenic spacer, and 23S ribosomal RNA
Rfam family: Bacterial small subunit ribosomal RNA (bases 1-53)
Source: RNAcentral
UGAAGUCGUAACAAGGUAGCCGUAUCGGAAGGUGCGGCUGGAUCACCUCCUUUCUAUGGAGAAUUGAUGAACGCUGUUCAUCAAUAUAAGUUUCCGUGUUUCGUUUUGUUCAGUUUUGAGAGAACUAUCUCUCAUAUAUAAAUGUAUGUUCUUUGAAAACUAGAUAACAGUGUAGCUCAUAUUUUUUUAAUUUUAGUUUGGUUAAGUUAGAAAGGGCGCACGGUGGAUGCCUU